RNAcentral lists this transfer RNA (84 nucleotides) under Citrus x clementina. RNAcentral's name for it is "Citrus clementina tRNA tRNA". Lineage: Eukaryota; Viridiplantae; Streptophyta; Magnoliopsida; Sapindales; Rutaceae. The record is from RNAcentral.
UGUUAGAAGUGGGAUUUGAACCCACGCCCUCUUUCGAAGACCAGAACUUGAGUCUGGCGCCUUAGACCACUCGGCCAUCCUGAC